This 67-nucleotide transfer RNA is filed under the name Marmota monax (woodchuck). RNAcentral describes it as "tRNA.Thr". The record is from RNAcentral. Lineage: Eukaryota; Metazoa; Chordata; Mammalia; Rodentia; Sciuridae.
GGUUGUGGCUCAGUGGUAGAGUGCUUGCCUAGUACGUGCGGGGCCCUGGGUUCGAUCCUCAGUACCA